This 468-nucleotide ribosomal RNA is filed under the name uncultured bacterium. RNAcentral describes it as "partial 16S ribosomal RNA". It matches the Rfam family "Bacterial small subunit ribosomal RNA", at positions 28 to 507 of the family's 1533-position model. The record is from RNAcentral.
GACGAACGCUGGCGGCGUGCUUAACACAUGCAAGUCGAACGGAAAGGCCCUGCUUUUGCGGGGUGCUCGAGUGGCGAACGGGUGAGUAACACGUGAGUAACCUGCCCUUGACUUUGGGAUAACUUCAGGAAACUGGGGCUAAUACCGGAUAGGAGCUCCUGCUGCAUGGUGGGGGUUGGAAAGUUUCGGCGGUUGGGGAUGGACUCGCGGCUUAUCAGCUUGUUGGUGGGGUAGUGGCUUACCAAGGCUUUGACGGGUAGCCGGCCUGAGAGGGUGACCGGCCACAUGGGGACUGAGAUACGGACCAGACUCCUACGGGAGGCAGCAGUGGGGAAUAUUGCACAAUGGGCGGAAGCCUGAUGCAGCAACGCCGCGUGCGGGAUGACGGCCUUCGGGUUGUAAACCGCUUUCGCCUGUGACGAAGCGUGAGUGACGGUAAUGGGUAAAGAAGCACCGGCUAACUACGUG